UACGAAGGGAGCUAGCGUUGUUCGGAAUUACUGGGCGUAAAGCGCGCGUAGGUGGUCAUGCAAGUCAGGGGUGAAAUCCCGGAGCUCAACUCCGGAACUGCCUCUGAAACUGCAUGACUUGAGUCUCGGAGGGGAUGGUGGAAUUUCUAAUGUAGCGGUGAAAUGCGUAGAGAUUAGAAGGAACACCGGUGGCGAAGGCGACCAUCUGGACGAGUACUGACACUGAGGUGCGAAAGCGUGGGGAGCAAACAGG
RNAcentral lists this unclassified non-coding RNA (253 nucleotides) under uncultured Rickettsiales bacterium. RNAcentral describes it as "contains 16S-23S intergenic spacer region". It matches the Rfam family "Bacterial small subunit ribosomal RNA", at positions 524 to 776 of the family's 1533-position model. Lineage: Bacteria; Pseudomonadati; Pseudomonadota; Alphaproteobacteria; Rickettsiales. The record is from RNAcentral.